CGUAAGGAAUCUACCUAUAAGCGGGGGAUAACAUUCGGAAACGGGUGCUAAUACCGCAUAAUAUCUUCUUCCGCAUGGAAGAAGAUUGAAAGACGGCUCUGCUGUCACUUAUAGAUGACCUUGCGGUGCAUUAGUUAGUUGGUGGGGUAACGGCCUACCAAGACGAUGAUGCAUAGCCGACCUGAGAGGGUGAUCGGCCACAUUGGGACUGAGACACGGCCCAAACUCCUACGGGAGGCAGCAGUAGGGAAUCUUCCGCAAUGGGCGAAAGCCUGACGGAGCAAUGCCGCGUGAGUGAAGAAGGCCUUCGGGUCGUAAAACUCUGUUAUAAGAGAAGAACAAAUUGUAGAGUAACUGCUACAGUCUUGACGGUAUCUUAUCAGAAAGCCACGGCUAACUACGUGCCAGCAGCCGCGGUAAUACGUAGGUGGCAAGCGUUGUCCGGAUUUAUUGGGCGUAAAGGGAGCGCAGGUGGUUUCUUAAGUCUGAUGUGAAAGCCCACGGCUUAACCGUGGAGGGUCAUUGGAAACUGGGAAACUUGAGUACAGAAGAGGAAUGUGGAACUCCAUGUGUAGCGGUGGAAUGCGUAGAUAUAUGGAAGAACACCAGUGGCGAAGGCGACAUUCUGGUCUGUUACUGACACUGAGGCUCGAAAGCGUGGGGAGCAAACAGGAUUAGAUACCCUGGUAGUCCACGCCGUAAACGAUGAGUGCUAGGUGUUGGAGGGUUUCCGCCCUUCAGUGCCGCAGUUAACGCAUUAAGCACUCCGCCUGGGGAGUACGACCGCAAGGUUGAAACUCAAAGGAAUUGACGGGGACCCGCACAAGCGGUGGAGCAUGUGGUUAAAUUCGAA
Molecule: ribosomal RNA, 853 nt
Filed under: Aerococcus viridans
Lineage: Bacteria; Bacillati; Bacillota; Bacilli; Lactobacillales; Aerococcaceae
Description: bacterial SSU rRNA
Rfam family: Bacterial small subunit ribosomal RNA
Source: RNAcentral